Molecule: ribosomal RNA, 264 nt
Filed under: uncultured bacterium
Lineage: Bacteria
Description: partial 16S ribosomal RNA
Rfam family: Bacterial small subunit ribosomal RNA
Source: RNAcentral
GUCCACGCCCUAAACUAUGGCGACUAGUUGUUGGGGAUUAACAUCCUUAGUAACGCAGCUAACGCGUGAAGUCGCCCGCCUGGGGAGUACGGUCGCAAGAUUAAAACUCAAAGGAAUUGACGGGGGCCCGCACAAGCGGUGGAUGAUGUGGUUUAAUUCGAUGCAACGCGAAAAACCUUACCUACCCUUGACAUGUCCGGAAUCCUGUAGAAAUAUAGGAGUGCCCGAAAGGGAAUCGGAACACAGGUGCUGCAUGGCUGUCGU